GCUGCCCUGUGGCUCCUGUGCCGGCUGCAGGGCACCCGGGAGCGGGUGGCGCUUGGAGCCAGAGAUGAGCUCCCACGUGCCUGCUCUGCCCUAGGCCCAAGACUGCCCCGCGCUGCUGGAGAGGCUCUUCAGCACAGCCCGGAGCUGCUGCAUGGGGAGCUGCCAGGCGUCGCAGGUGACAGCCGUCACCGUCCUGGGCAUCAUCCUGGACACAGCGCCAGCUGAGUGGCUCCAGCGAUGGGACCUGGCGUUCUUGUGGGGAGCUCAGCAGAGGCAGUGGCACGCCAAGGCCCCCCCGUGCGUGGCUGGCGGCAGCAGCGGUGCCCCGUGCCGGGGGCCCCAGUAGCCCGAGGCUGGAGGACAAUAAAGCUCCAUCCGCAUGAGGAAGGCGCCAGCUUGUUUCCAGGCUCUGUGGGGGUCUUGCGCCGGCACCGGCCCCGCCGC
This 444-nucleotide long non-coding RNA is filed under the name Struthio camelus australis. Its description in RNAcentral is "lncRNA (ENSSCUG00000017995.1)". The record is from RNAcentral. Lineage: Eukaryota; Metazoa; Chordata; Aves; Struthioniformes; Struthionidae.